RNAcentral lists this transfer RNA (72 nucleotides) under bacterium. Its description in RNAcentral is "tRNA-Gly". It matches the Rfam family "tRNA". Rfam says of the family: Transfer RNA (tRNA) molecules are approximately 80 nucleotides in length. Their secondary structure includes four short double-helical elements and three loops (D, anti-codon, and T loops). The record is from RNAcentral. RNAcentral also lists the same sequence under 10 other names.
GCGGGAGUGGCUCAGUGGUAGAGCACUUCCUUGCCAAGGAAGAUGUCGCGGGUUCGAAUCCCGUCUCCCGCU